GCGGGCAUGGCGGAAUUGGCAGACGCGCCAGAUUUAGGUUCUGGUGGGAGACCGUGCAGGUUCGAGUCCUGUUGCCCGCA
RNAcentral lists this transfer RNA (80 nucleotides) under Lachnoclostridium sp. An14. It matches the Rfam family "tRNA". Rfam says of the family: Transfer RNA (tRNA) molecules are approximately 80 nucleotides in length. Their secondary structure includes four short double-helical elements and three loops (D, anti-codon, and T loops). Lineage: Bacteria; Bacillati; Bacillota; Clostridia; Lachnospirales; Lachnospiraceae. The record is from Rfam by way of RNAcentral.